RNAcentral lists this ribosomal RNA (429 nucleotides) under Gemmatimonadota bacterium. Its description in RNAcentral is "Gemmatimonadetes bacterium partial 16S ribosomal RNA". It matches the Rfam family "Bacterial small subunit ribosomal RNA", at positions 355 to 776 of the family's 1533-position model. Lineage: Bacteria; Pseudomonadati; Gemmatimonadota. The record is from RNAcentral.
UAGGGAAUCUUCGGCAAUGGACGAAAGUCUGACCGAGCAACGCCGCGUGAGUGAAGAAGGUUUUCGGAUCGUAAAACUCUGUUGUUAGAGAAGAACAAGGACGUUAGUAACUGAACGUCCCCUGACGGUAUCUAACCAGAAAGCCACGGCUAACUACGUGCCAGCAGCCGCGGUAAUACGUAGGUGGCAAGCGUUGUCCGGAUUUAUUGGGCGUAAAGCGAGCGCAGGCGGUUUCUUAAGUCUGAUGUGAAAGCCCCCGGCUCAACCGGGGAGGGUCAUUGGACACUGGGAGACUUGAGUGCAGAAGAGGAGAGUGGAAUUCCAUGUGUAGCUGUGAAAUGCGUAGAUAUAUGGAGGAACACCAGUGGCGAAGGCGGCUCUCUGGUCUGUAACUGACGCUGAGGCUCGAAAGCGUGGGGAGCAAACAGG